Molecule: long non-coding RNA, 1044 nt
Organism: Cydia pomonella (codling moth)
Lineage: Eukaryota; Metazoa; Arthropoda; Insecta; Lepidoptera; Tortricidae
Exons: 2
Source: RefSeq, a predicted model, not a curated record
UGAAUACUUUUGGAAAAACCCGUUUCUAAUAAAGGCCGAAAUAAUGUUUAUCCCUCUUUAACUCUCAAACCAAAGUUCAAAAAAUAUAUAAAAAAAAUAUCGGGAGAUAAGCCGUAGAAUAGAGUACUAAAAAGAAAAUGCUUUCAACAUGAUCGGUUGAGCCACUUUUGAGUUUUCUUUCAAAAACCCUAAAUUAAAGGUCGUAAGUUCAGCGUAAACACGCACUUUUGCGCGACAUGCAGUUAUCAAGAACAUCGACAUAACUUAAGUCCCGUAUUUUUAAAGUAAUACCUUCUUAUUAAAAUCAAAAUUUAGUAUACAGGUUUGAUAAUACACCCUUUAACCUGCGCAAUUUAAAAUGUGAGAAAUUCUCACUCGCUACAAUUCGAUCUAACUCAAGUAAACCUACAUAUACUCUAAACACUUAAUCUACACAAACAUAUACCUAUUUCAUUCUAACAUACAUCUACAACCCUACCCGUAGUUACAGCAUGAAAUAACAAACAUUGUUGCACAAGUGACGUAACUGCAUCAGGAAGGUGCUUGCCUACAGCCCAUUACCGCUAGCAAGGCCACAGUUCAACGACCGACCAAUGUCACCUUGCCCGCUCGCUCCCCGCCUUAUCUACCUAACUACCCAUCUAUAUACCUAGUGCAGCUUGUUUGUCUAGAAUGCACGCGCGCGUCGCGUCAUCUGACUACGCUCCAUAUAGUUGACAGGACGGCAGAAAAUAUUAAGACAGGACUGGAGUUGUUUCAGACGGCAAGCAAAGUGGGCAGAUGAGACAGACUCAAGAAAUCGAACGUUUACCAACAUUAGACACAGGAAACCACCCUGAGACACGAGGCCAGAACAACCCUUUAAAUUCCCGUUGGAUUUUACGAAUUAAAUUAUAUUUCAAUUGUUGCUCCAUUUCAUUAUGUUUGUGCGUCCACUUGGAUCGUACCUAAUAGAUAAGCUAAAGUAGAACUCGGAAUAUAACUGAUUAUAUUACAGAAUUAUAACUUGCAAUUAACUACGGUUUAAUUAAACAAUGCAGCGAG